Molecule: long non-coding RNA, 636 nt
Organism: Chinchilla lanigera (long-tailed chinchilla)
Lineage: Eukaryota; Metazoa; Chordata; Mammalia; Rodentia; Chinchillidae
Exons: 3
Source: RefSeq, a predicted model, not a curated record
CAUUUUGUAUGCAUUAGUAUUGUUAAUCCUUGUAAAAAUUCCACAAGGUAUUCUCUCUUUGCGAGAAGAGGAAACUGAGGACCCAAAAGGUUAAAUAAUGUUCUUGGGGCCAUACAGCUCGUGAGUGUUAAGACCAGAAAACUAGUCAUAAAAGACGUUCUUUGCAUUAUCAGUGUAAUCUCUUUGUGAAGAGGGUGGGUGGUUUUAAUAAUGUUGGCUGAAGAAUUUUAUGGGAAACAAUUCUAUCACAUGUGCAGAAAUGCCUCAGCCCACCUCUGAAUUAAAAUAUCUAAUCUCAAUAGGACAGUUGCUCUAUGGAGGAGCAUACCGGAAAUAGGAUCAUGAAGGCCCCUUCAGAGCCCCUGCCCCAUGGUUGGUUGUGAAUGAGGAACCCACGGAUACAGAAGCUGACUGCGCAAACCUUUGUGUUCACGGAGGUGACUGAAUGCAAGGAAUGAAUGACUCUGAGGAAAGCUGAGAGUGGGCAGGGAAGGGUGGAGAUCUGUGUUUGAGGGAAAGCCAAACAGGAAGUUUCAAGUCUGGAGUUUGCGGAGAAGCCCUGGGUUUCGAGGCAGAUGGGAGGCCAGUCCUGGAUCUGCCACUGGCCAGCUGUGUGACCUUCAGCAAGUUACAUAA